RNAcentral lists this ribosomal RNA (495 nucleotides) under uncultured bacterium. RNAcentral describes it as "partial 16S ribosomal RNA". It matches the Rfam family "Bacterial small subunit ribosomal RNA", at positions 28 to 507 of the family's 1533-position model. The record is from RNAcentral.
GACGAACGCUGGCGGCGUGCCUAAUACAUGCAAGUAGAACGCUGAAGGAGGAGCUUGCUUCUCUGGAUGAGUUGCGAACGGGUGAGUAACGCGUAGGUAACCUGCCUGGUAGCGGGGGAUAACUAUUGGAAACGAUAGCUAAUACCGCAUAAGAUUAGAUGUUGCAUGACAUUUGCUUAAAAGUUGCAAUUGCAUCACUACCAGAUGGACCUGCGUUGUAUUAGCUAGGUGGGGGGGUAACGGCUUACCAAGGCGAAGAUUCAUAGCCGACCUGAGAGGGUGAUCCGCCAACCUGGGACUGGGAACCGGCCCAGACUCCUACGGGAGGCAGCAGUAGGGAAUCUUUGGACAUGGAGGGAAGUCUGACCGAGCCACGCCGCGUGAGUGGAGAAGGUUUUCGGAUUGUAAAGGUCUGUUGUAAGAGAAGAAAGAGUGUGAGAGUGGAACGUUCACACUGUGACGGUAUCUUACCAGAAAGCGACGGCUAACUACGUG